GAGUUUGAUCCUGGCUCAGGACGAUACGCUGGCGGCGUGCCUAAUACAUGCAAGUAGAACGCUGAAGACUUUAGCUUGUUAAAGUUGGAAGAGUUGCGAACGGGUGAGUAACGCGUAGGUAACCUGCCUACUAGCGGGGGAUAACUAUUGGAAACGAUAGCUAAUACCGCAUAACAGCAUUUAACCCAUGUUAGAUGCUUGAAAGGAGCAAUUGCUUCACUAGUAGAUGGACCUGCGUUGUAUUAGCUAGUUGGUGAGGUAACGGCUCACCAAGGCGACGGUACAUAGCCGACCUGAGAGGGUGAUCGGCCACACUGGGACUGAGACACGGCCCAGACUCCUACGGGAGGCAGCAGUAGGGAAUCUUCGGCAAUGGGGGCAACCCUGACCGAGCAACGCCGCGUGAGUGAAGAAGGUUUUCGGAUCGUAAAGCUCUGUUGUAAGAGAAGAACGUGUGUGAGAGUGGAAAGUUCACACAGUGACGGUAACUUACCAGAAAGGGACGGCUAACUACGUGCCAGCAGCCGCGGUAAUACGUAGGUCCCGAGCGUUGUCCGGAUUUAUUGGGCGUAAAGCGAGCGCAGGCGGUUUAAUAAGUCUGAAGUUAAAGGCAGUGGCUUAACCAUUGUUCGCUUUGGAAACUGUUAGACUUGAGUGCAGAAGGGGAGAGUGGAAUUCCAUGUGUAGCGGUGAAAUGCGUAGA
This 703-nucleotide ribosomal RNA is filed under the name uncultured bacterium. RNAcentral describes it as "bacterial SSU rRNA". It matches the Rfam family "Bacterial small subunit ribosomal RNA", at positions 9 to 694 of the family's 1533-position model. The record is from RNAcentral.